GAAGACAGUCUUAAUCACUGAAGCUAGUCCAUUACGAGAAAGUUCAGUGCAACAAGCACACCGUUAAGUUUCUAUUUUGGCUGCGCUGUAUGCCUCUGUCAUGAAACAAAAGACAACUAGUCAAUUACCUUGUCGCCCAAGAUUAAUUUUUGCGUAACCUGCAAGUCUUAAAGGAGCACGCAUUCAAUUUGACUUACAGUUGUGUAUACUUUUCAGAACAGCACUACUCUGUAUAUAUUAUAUAUAUUUGUGUUGAGUGCAAGCACAAACGCAUAAGCACAAUCUAAGAUGGAUUCCAAGGCAGCAGCUAACAAUAAACUUCAUGCUGUUUGUAUUCCAGCUCCAGCUCAAAGCCAUAUAAAGGCAAUGCUUAAAUUUUCAAAGCUACUCCACCAUAGAGGUUUUCAUAUAACCUUUGUCAACACAGAGUUCAACCACAACCGCUUUCUUAAAUCUCUUGGACCCAAUUCCCUCGAUGGCUUGCCUGAUUUUCGAUUUGAAACCAUUCCAGACGGCCUUCCACCAGACUCCAACCAAGAUGCCACCCAAGACACCUCUUUAGCAUCCGAUGCCAUCAGCAAAAACCUUUUGCCUCCGUUUCGAGACCUCCUCAUAAAACUCAACGACGCGGCGAUUUCGAUCAAUAAUGUUAGUCCUCCAGUGACUUGCAUUUUCUCAGAUGGUUUCAUGCCAUUUACAAUCACAGCUGCUGACGAAAUUGGACUCCCUUUGGUACUCUUCUUUCCUAUUUCUGCAGGCAGCUUCAUGGGCUAUAAACAAUACCCUACUUUGGUGGAAAAGGGUAUUGCACCACUCAAAGAUGAGAGCUGUUUGACAAAUGGCUUCUUGGACAAGGUAAUAGAUUGGAUUCCAGGAAUGAAGGAUAUUCGUUUAAGGGAUCUACCGACAAAUUUUCGAACUACAAAUCCAAACGACAGCGUGUUCAACCUCAGUUUGGAAUCAGUGGAAAGAGUUGAUAAAGCUUCAGCAGUAGUUGUUCAUACUUUUGAAGCAUUGGAGCCAGAUGUUUGAAUGCUCUCUCCUCAAUGCUUCCACUUGUUUAUGCCAUUGGCCCUCUCCAGUUGCUUCUCAAUCACUUACCAAAAGAUCCCUUGAACGAUAUGGGAUAUAGCCUGUGGAGAGAAGAAACAGAGUGCCUUGAAUGGCUAAACUCAAAGCCACCAAAUUCAGUUGUUUAUGUGAAUUUUGGCAGCAUAGCAGUCAUGACACCAGAACAUCUUGUAGAGUUUGCAUGGGGACUUGCAAAUAGCAAGCUUCCAUUCUUUUGGGUAAUCAGGCCUGAUUUGGUUGUCGGUGAAUCGGCGAUUUUGUCACCUGAAUUUGUAGCUGAAACCAAGGAGAGGGGUUUGAUAGCAAGUUGGUGCCCACAAGAGCAAGUCCUUAGCCACCCUUCAGUUGGAGGCUUUUUAACACACAGCGGUUGGAAUUCGGUUAUUGAAAGUUUGUGUGCAGGAGUUCCUAUGCUUUGUUGGCCUUUCUUUGCUGACCAACAAACUAACACUUGGUGUGCUUGCAAUGAAUGGGAUAUUGGGAUGGAGAUUAGUAAUGAUGUCAAAAGAGUAGAAGUACAGGAGCUUGUUAGAGAGUUAAUGGAGGGAGAAAAGGGUAAGAAAAUGAAAAUUAAGGUCAUGCAGUGGAAGAAACUUGCAGAAGAAUCCACCAGUCCAAAUGGUUCCUCAUCCACAAACCUAGACAAUUUAGUCAAUAAUGUACUAUUAAGAAACUCUUUUUAGUAGAGUGAUAGCGCUAAUGAGUUAAAUAAUAACUUUUGUUGGUUGUCUACUUGUCUUAAUUACUAGAAAUAUGAACUUGCAUGCCUACUGUGUCAUAAAUUA
Malus domestica (apple) is the source of this 1856-nucleotide non-coding RNA. The record is from RefSeq and is a predicted model, not a curated record. Lineage: Eukaryota; Viridiplantae; Streptophyta; Magnoliopsida; Rosales; Rosaceae.